Molecule: ribosomal RNA, 253 nt
Filed under: uncultured bacterium
Lineage: Bacteria
Description: partial 16S ribosomal RNA
Rfam family: Bacterial small subunit ribosomal RNA
Source: RNAcentral
UACGGAGGGUGCAAGCGUUAAUCGGAAUUACUGGGCGUAAAGCGCACGCAGGCGGUUGGAUAAGUUAGAGGUGAAAGCCCCGGGCUCAACCCUGGAAAUGCAAUUAAAACGGUCCAACUAGAAUCGUGUAGAGGGGGGUAGAAUUCCAGGUGUAGCGGUGGAAUGCGUAGAGAUCCGGAAGAACACCGGUGGCGAAGGCGGCCCCCUGGACAAAGGCUGACGCUGAGGUGCGAAAGCGUGGGGAGCAAACAGG